GAAUCCCCAUCAAUGCGAAGAAUGUGCGUUAUCCCGAGGAGUGAUUCGAUUCUCGAGAAACUUGCUGGCCUAAACUCGCCUUGUAUUGUCCAUGUGAAAUCCAGUGUAGUAGUAAAGGUUGGUAUACAACUUUAUUUAAAUGUGUUUAAAAUCCUGCUAUUUGAUUAUGCAUGCACAUACAGGACUACAAGUCCUUAGCCAAGUCUCAAACAUGUCGUUUAAUUUUUAAUAGUUGGAUCCCACAAAGCUUGAACAAGAUGAUUUAGACAAUGAUGAGAUUCUGUUAAUUUGGGAUUUUGAUGUGGAUGAGUUUUAUUGGAAAAUGCUAUAGCAAUAACUCCAGCUACAUCAACAGAUGUUGAGGAAUAUCCUCAGGCACCUU
This is a non-coding RNA of Paramuricea clavata, 382 nucleotides long. Lineage: Eukaryota; Metazoa; Cnidaria; Anthozoa; Malacalcyonacea; Plexauridae. The record is from the annotation of a GenBank genome assembly.